RNAcentral lists this ribosomal RNA (443 nucleotides) under uncultured bacterium. RNAcentral's name for it is "partial 16S ribosomal RNA". It matches the Rfam family "Bacterial small subunit ribosomal RNA", at positions 338 to 795 of the family's 1533-position model. The record is from RNAcentral.
CCUACGGGUGGCAGCAGGGGGGAAUAUUGGGCAAUGGAGGCAACGCUGACGCAGCAACGCCGCGUGAAUGAUGAAGGUCUUCGGAUUGUAAAGUUCUGUGAUGGGGGAUGAAAACAAUGACGGUACCCCAAUAGCAAGCCACGGCUAACUACGUGCCAGCAGCCGCGGUAAUACGUAGGUGACAAGCGUUAUCCGGAAGGACUGGGCGUAAAGGGUGCGUAGGUGGGUGAGUAAGGUGGCGGUGUAAUUCCGGGGCUCAACCCCGGCGCUGCCGCCGAAACUAUUAGACUAGAGUGCCGGAGAGGUAAGUGGAAUUCCUAGUGUAGCGGUGAAAUGCGUAGAUAUUAGGAGGAACAUCAGGGGCGAAGGCGACUUACUGGACUAUAACUGACACUGAGGCACGAAAGCGUGGGGAGCAAACAGGAUUAGAUACCCCUGUAGUC